UAUGGUUGUGUAUGCUUGUGGAGAGC
Molecule: non-coding RNA, 26 nt
Filed under: Homo sapiens (human)
Lineage: Eukaryota; Metazoa; Chordata; Mammalia; Primates; Hominidae
Source: RNAcentral